CCAGUGGCACUGCCGGGUAGCUAUGUGCGGACGGGAUAACCGCUGAAGGCAUCUAAGCGGGAAGCCCCCUUCAAGAUGAGAUCUCCCCGAGGCCUUGAGCCUCCUGAAGGGCCCAGCGAGACCAGCUGGUGGAUAGGCCGGGUGUGGAAGCGCUGCAAGGCGUUGAGCUAACCGGUACUAAUGGCCCGUGAGGCUUGACCAU
RNAcentral lists this ribosomal RNA (202 nucleotides) under Halomonas cerina. Its description in RNAcentral is "Bacterial large subunit ribosomal RNA". It matches the Rfam family "Bacterial large subunit ribosomal RNA", at positions 2729 to 2925 of the family's 2925-position model. Lineage: Bacteria; Pseudomonadati; Pseudomonadota; Gammaproteobacteria; Oceanospirillales; Halomonadaceae. The record is from Rfam by way of RNAcentral.